CUCACAUUAACAAGCGCCUGCGAGAGAGAGCGAGAUAGGCCAUGGGCUCCAUCGCAAAACAUUUACACUCGCACACACACAACCUUUCAAUGUCAAGGCGACGCACACAAACACUCACAAGCGGCGUUCCAUGGGCUGGUUCAUUGAACUUGAAUAAUGGGCUACCAAAAAUAAAACAGGAAAGUGCAGCCCUGCUCCGCCUUCAAUUGGAGGCCAAUUUGCUACCACUGUGCGAGUGAGAGCAAAUAUGUGGGUCGCGGCAUCUGCUGAGAUUUCACAGCCACAACAAUAAUAAUAAUAAUAACGGCAUGCGGGUGUUGUUUCUGUUCCAUUCAUGCAUGCGCAUCUAUGUGCGUGAUGG
Drosophila gunungcola (fruit fly) is the source of this 361-nucleotide long non-coding RNA. RefSeq lists it as uncharacterized. NCBI's taxonomy places the organism in Eukaryota, Metazoa, Arthropoda, Insecta, Diptera, Drosophilidae. The record is from RefSeq and is a predicted model, not a curated record. The transcript has 3 exons.